ACCGAGCGUGUCUCAAACCGUCCCGCGCUUUUAUCUGCCUAAAGGUAUCUUCACGCACGACUGGAUAGGCCUUUUAGAUACGCUUGUCCAAGGUAAGGAUAUGAGUCAAGCUAUAGCCUACUUUUAAUGUUUUAGUUCCGAACUCAAGUUACUCCAGUCAAGUGAUUAACCGUAAAAGUUUGUUGUUUUGACUGAGCAGUCCAAUGGCCAAUGCUGUUUUUGGACUAUGAGACCCUCUGCUAUAUACUAUGAUGAGCCAAUAACAUGCAAAGAUUAUGCAUUAGGCAUUACACAAGUCAGUGUCUAGGUCAGAAUAUAAAAUAGCUAUUUCCGUCAAUUCAUGUUACUCACCUCAAGUGAUUAAUCGUAAGAGUUAGUUAUUUUGAUUAUCAAAACAAACAUCUUUGAUGGAAUAUUCCAAAUUACAAUGCAAUUAUGCAUCACAAAUUCACAAUAUUUCUUGUAUUUCAAUGAUUCAUCUAGGCCCAAGACAUAAAGUUGCCUGAAAGCUGUGUAGCAAUAAUUCCUGCUCCUGACACAUAGGAUGGUAAUCACAUACAUGAUUGGCUUAAUCAAGAAUCAUGGAUACCUUUCAUGUGAGUACUCACACACCAGAUUUUUUUUACAUACCUUAGAAGGAAGAUACCUCAAUAUCUGGAAGCACUGUCUCAUGUACAAUUGUUAAUGCUAUCUCUGAAAUGUCUAACAAAAUGUUGACUUGAUCCUUUCAUCAAGACCUUCUCAUCACAAGUUGGAACUAGUGGUCAACAUUGGGACAAUGCAGCCCAAAAUAACAGGGCUGAAUAUUUUCAUGGAGGUAAGCACUACACUUCUGAUGGGUUUAAAGAUUGUAUUACAUUAUCUAAAAGUGAUAAAGUAAACCCCAGCUAUUGUUAUUAUUUUCACAGGGAAGGACAAAUCCCAUUAUGCCAUGAAUGUUUAAUUGCGGAACAACCAUAGAUAUUUUUCCUCUAAUUUGGCUCCCGUUCCUCCCAACAGUGAGCAAGACCUGCCAGCAGAGCUCACUGGAGCAGGGAGACAUCCCGUCAUCCUUUUGGCGCCUGACAAAGUACACUUUUUUUCUUCUAAAUAACACUAUAGUAACAUCUUCUGCACAAUGUUACAUUCCUAAUAAGAUUGGUGUUAAGUGGGAAAGAAUCCUAAAGAUGGUCCAAUGGGCAUGGUCUGAAGCCUCUCGUCAUCUCAGUAUGUUGAACCACCUGAUUUCCUGCAGGCUUGAGAUUCAGAUCCUGCUGAACGAUGUUAAGCAGUCGAUUAACCACAUGCAGGGGACGCUGAACACCAUGCAGGGGCAGUGUAUUGAGUUGCAGACUGCCAUAUCUAAGAUCAUCACAGCAACCGAAGUUGCUGUGCAGAGGGAGGAGAUCGUCCGAGCAUCAAGCCUCAGCCCGUCACAGAGGAAGGGUAUCCUCCAAACAGCCAGUGUCCCUUCACAGAGGGAGGGGAUUCUCUCAGCCGCCAGCAUCAAUGCACAGAAGGAGGAGAUCCUCCGAUCAUCAGGCCUCAUCCCUGCACGGAGGGAGGGGAUCCUCCAAACAGCCAGUGUCACUGCGCAGAAGGAGGAAAUCGUCCCAAUGGCGAACGCCCCUGUGCACAGGGAGGGGAUUGUCCCAAAGGCUAGUGUCCCUGCUGAGAGGGAGGAGAUCCUCCGAGCAUCAGGCCUCAUCCCUGCACAGAGGAAGGGGAUCCUCCAAACAGCCAGUGUCCCUGCACGGAGGAAGGGGAUCCUCCAAACAGCCAGUGUCACUGCGCAGAGGGAGGAGAUCCUCAGAGCAUCAGGCCUCAUCCCUGUACAUAGGGAGGGGAUCAUCCGAGCACCAGUCCACAUCCCUACAAAGAGGGAGGGGAUUCUUCCAGCAGCUUCUAUCACUGCGCAGAAGAAUAAGAUGCUCAGAGCAUCACAACUCACCCCUGCACAAAGGGAGUUGAUCCUCCUGAUGACCAGUGUCACUGCGCAGAGAAAGGGAAUCUUCCCAAAGGCCAGCGUCCCUGCGCACAGGGAGUGGAUCGUCCCAAAGGCUAGUGUCCCUGCAGAGAGGGAGGAGAUCCUCCUCACAGCCAGUGUCCCUGUGAAGAAUGAAAACAAUCAUCCACAACCACCUCCCAUCAUCCCCAUGGUGGCACCACUGUGGAAAUGGGAUGGUGGAGCGUGUAUUCCACCUGUGGAUUUCUAUUCCAAGAGAAGAGGUCACUUAACCUUACCUAAUUAG
RNAcentral lists this long non-coding RNA (2231 nucleotides) under Oncorhynchus mykiss (rainbow trout). Its description in RNAcentral is "lncRNA (ENSOMYG00000031317.2)". The record is from RNAcentral. Lineage: Eukaryota; Metazoa; Chordata; Actinopteri; Salmoniformes; Salmonidae.